AGCCGAUUUGGCUCAUUUUGGAAAUGAUUGUUUUUGAUGAGAAUGGUGCCCCUCAUCUAAGUUCCAGACCUUUCCUUUUUGAAGAUGACUAUGACUGUGAAAGAAACGUGGAAACAUGUAUUAGGUAUGGCUCUGGUACCAACCAAAUGCCAAGGGAGACUCUACCUCACUGAGGCAAUAAAAAGGGGAGAAGCGGCCAUGAUUUCCCCAUUGCCUCCACCUUGGACACCUUAUCUUUGUUUCUAUCACUGAAGAAAACUGGACCAUGAAAAGCAAAGUCCCUAUUUGGAGCAAUUAAGCAAAGUCCCUAUCCAUAAUAAUUAUUGUCUUUUAAAAAAUAUAUUUAUUGAUUUCAGAGAGGAAGGAAAGAUAGAAACAUCAAUGAUGAGAAUCAUUGAUUGGCUGCCUCCUGCACGCCCCCUACUGGGGAUUGAAUCCACAA
Molecule: long non-coding RNA, 442 nt
Organism: Pipistrellus kuhlii (Kuhl's pipistrelle)
Lineage: Eukaryota; Metazoa; Chordata; Mammalia; Chiroptera; Vespertilionidae
Exons: 3
Source: RefSeq, a predicted model, not a curated record